Molecule: small RNA, 29 nt
Filed under: Bombyx mori (domestic silkworm)
Lineage: Eukaryota; Metazoa; Arthropoda; Insecta; Lepidoptera; Bombycidae
Description: ovarian small RNA-32022
Source: RNAcentral
UGACUGUUCAGUUCAAUAGUUCGCUUCAA